GAUGAACGCUGGCGGCGUGCCUAAUACAUGCAAGUCGAGCGAACAGAUGAGGAGCUUGCUCCUCUGACGUUAGCGGCGGACGGGUGGGUAACACGUGGAUAACCUACCUAUAAGACUGGGAUAACUUCGGGAAACCGGAGCUAAUACCGGAUAAUAUAUUGAACCGCAUGGUUCAAUAGUGAAAGACGGUUUUGCUGUCACUUAUAGAUGGAUCCGCGCCGCAUUAGCUAGUUGGUAAGGUAACGGCUACCAAGGCAACGAUGCGUAGCCGACCUGAGAGGGUGAUCGGCCACACUGGAACUGAGACACGGUCCAGACUCCUACGGGAGGCAGCAGUAGGGAAUCUUCCGCAAUGGGCGAAAGCCUGACGGAGCAACGCCGCGUGAGUGAUGAAGGUCUUCGGAUCGUAAAACUCUGUUAUUAGGGAAGAACAAAUGUGUAAGUAACUAUGCACGUCUUGACGGUACCUAAUCAGAAAGCCACGGCUAACUACGUG
This 496-nucleotide ribosomal RNA is filed under the name uncultured bacterium. RNAcentral's name for it is "partial 16S ribosomal RNA". It matches the Rfam family "Bacterial small subunit ribosomal RNA", at positions 28 to 507 of the family's 1533-position model. The record is from RNAcentral.